ACGCUCGACACCUACGGGAGGCAGCAGUUGGGAAUAUUGGACAAUGGAGGAAACUCUGAUCCAGUGACGCCGCGUGAAGGAAGAAGGUCUUCGGAUUGUAAACUUAUUUUGUCAGGGAAGAAAAAUGACUGUACCUGAAGAAAAGCACCGGCUAACUACGUGCCACAGCCGCGGUAAUCUGAGCGGGCUGGCAAGGC
RNAcentral lists this ribosomal RNA (197 nucleotides) under uncultured bacterium. Its description in RNAcentral is "partial 16S ribosomal RNA". It matches the Rfam family "Bacterial small subunit ribosomal RNA", at positions 328 to 539 of the family's 1533-position model. The record is from RNAcentral.